CAGCUGACUGUCAGCUGGGACGGGCUGGCUUAACCCUUCCUGCGCCGCUGCCUACCCGGGAGGGAACGAGGCCCGGCGCAAAGUUUGGUAUUUUAAAGCGAUAGGCAAGUCGAAGAAGCAGAGAUUUAUUUGGAGAGAAAGCUCCUGAAACCGACCCAGCCUUUGGAAGACCAGCCCGUCUGCUUAGAAGUUGGGACUGUUGAUUCCUUCAAUUAAUGAAAUGCAUUUGGUGUUUUUAAUCGUAUUUAUUUUACUUUAUGAGAAGGGGGAGACGCUAGGAGGGUGCAUUAAAAAAAAAAAAAAAUUCUGAAAAGCCUGCAAAAGGAUCGAAGAGUGGAAACUAUUGUUGGAGCGAGUUGGUUUUUACCUCAACAGCGCCACCUUUCGGCAAAGGUUUCUUCCUUGGAAAACAAUAUACAUCACUUAAUGAAAUCUUUGUUUGUUUUGCACAAGAGAUGUAAAAAAUCCAGAUGUUUUCUUCAGUGAGAAUUCCUGGGAAGGUGUACCAGCCUUCUUCUCUUUCUUCACCUGACAAAGACACCCAACACGGCCUCUCAGACCGGAGGUGUUUAAUAUAUAGUUUUGACACGCAUGAACAUGGGAAUGAAAGGGCUCCUUUUGGUUUUAGACAAUAGACAGAGCUAUAAAAUGAUGAUGGAGCCUGUUUUCCCCACUCUUGUCAUUUUAAGUCAAUAGAUUUCCUGGGUUUCUUCCCCCGCCCCCCCACUUUGCCUUUUCAGGGGAUAGGCAUCUCCUUAGAUUUUUGUUUUUCUUCACUUAGGGUCAGCUUUAUGAUUCGUUCUUCUGCUGUCAUCCUUUUUCAUCCUAUUCACAGCCUGUACCGGUGAGGGAAUUUGUCUCAAAAGCAUUCAGCCCUUCAAAGAUUUUUAUUGUGGUGAACUCAGAACUGAUAAACAGAAAAACAGAAACAGAAAAAGGGAACUGAUAUGGGGGCGAUCUUGAUGCGGGUUGUGUCUCUCAUGCAUGAUAACUCAGAGGACAGGCUCCUCGGUAGUGCGGUAGUGCUAACUCUGUGAAGUUUCUUCACCCUCCUUCCUAGCCCUGGAGGCGGGGUGAUUCAUAGCUCCUGUUCCAAAGGCAUUCAGCAGCCAUUCGACCUGGGAAAGAAACAGAGUUUUAGAAAAUACAGGCCAAAUGUAGAGACGCCUGUGAUUACCAGGAUGAGUAUGUCAGUGCAGGUGGCUUCUGAAUUUCUGUUUCUGAGUUUGUUUGGCUGAUGCCUAAGGAAAGGGGUCCCUUACAGCCCUGUUUUAUACCUUAGUUCUUGGUGGCAACGUGGGUGUUGCUGAUCUCUCUGAUGUGUUUUUCUGUGCACUGAAAACACCAGACAUGCUCCGUGACAUCCUCGGAGCAUCUCCCAUCAUAAUGGAGUGUUCCUAACCUGACAAAGAAUAGCAUAUUACCUCCCCAUCUACUCAAAAUAAAAUUAUAGUAAAAUUUA
RNAcentral lists this long non-coding RNA (1462 nucleotides) under Homo sapiens (human). Its description in RNAcentral is "HSALNT0387068". The record is from RNAcentral. Lineage: Eukaryota; Metazoa; Chordata; Mammalia; Primates; Hominidae.